Molecule: long non-coding RNA, 613 nt
Organism: Ornithorhynchus anatinus (platypus)
Lineage: Eukaryota; Metazoa; Chordata; Mammalia; Monotremata; Ornithorhynchidae
Exons: 6
Source: RefSeq, a predicted model, not a curated record
GUCUGACGGUCACAGCUCUGUCUCCCUAACUUUUCCCUAGCAGACGUGGCUGCCGCCCCAGCACCCCCUUCCAUCCCUCUUCCCACAGGUCACAGGAAUGGGUUUGGAGCCAGAACCUUUCUAGGAAGCCAGAUCCAGCCAGGUUUCCCUGUGGCAGGGAGUUACCCAGCCAGUGGAUACAGCAAUGGAUAUCGCCCCGGAGGCCCUGGAACAUCUGUGGGAUAUGGAAAUGGUAUUCCCCAAGUUUCCUACGGUGCUCAGCCUGGUGGCUCUUUUGGGACAGGACUGAGAGUCCCAUGGCAGGAAAAUAUGGACCAUAUGAGGGGUUAGGACAAGCAGGACCUGGUCCAGUCUCUGGAAGUUAUGGCCGACGCCCCCUUGGGAAAUGCUGAACCAAGGGGAUUUCCCUAGUCUUCCUCAUCUGAGAAGACACCUUCUUCACCAGAAUGAACCCAGCUCCCAGGCUGUCAUUUUGGGAAGAAACAGCACUUGGGCAUGGGGGGAAAAUCGGGCAAGAGGGACACCUUUAGCGUUUAGGACCCUCUCGCCCCUCUGCACUUCAGGUUGCGGUUAAUGAGAGGUUUCCCUCUAGGCUGUACGCUCGUUGCGGGUA